UACCGAGGGUGCAAGCGUUAAUCGGAAUUACUGGGCGUAAAGCGUGCGUAGACGGUUAUUUAAGUCAGGUGUGAAAGCCCCGGGCUCAACCUGGGAAUUGCAUUUGAGACUGAAUAGCUAGGGUGCGGAAGAGGGAAGCGGAAUUUCCGGUGUAGCGGUGAAAUGCGUAGAUAUCGGAAGGAACACCAGUGGCGAAAGCGGCUUCCUGGUCCAGCACCGACGUUCAGGCACGAAAGCGUGGGGAGCAAACAGG
This 253-nucleotide ribosomal RNA is filed under the name uncultured bacterium. RNAcentral's name for it is "partial 16S ribosomal RNA". It matches the Rfam family "Bacterial small subunit ribosomal RNA", at positions 524 to 776 of the family's 1533-position model. The record is from RNAcentral.